UAGAGGUAAAGUUGCGAGCUGAUUAGCUUGUUGGUGAGGUAAUGGCUCACCAAGGCGACGAUCAGUAUCUGGUUUGAGAGGACGAUCAGACACACUGGAACUGAGACACGGUCCAGACUCCUACGGGAGGCAGCAGUGGGGAAUUUUCCGCAAUGGGCGAAAGCCUGACGGAGCAAUACCGCGUGAGGGAUGACGGCCUAUGGGUUGUAAACCUCUUUUUUCAGGGAGGAAUCAAUGACGUGUACCUGAAGAAUAAGCAUCGGCUAACUCCGUGCCAGCAGCCGCGGUAAGACGGAGGAUGCAAGUGUUAUCCGGAAUCACUGGGCGUAAAGCGUCUGUAGGUGGUUUAAUAAGUCAACUGUUAAAUCUUGAGGCUCAACCUCAAAAUCGCAGUCGAAACUAUUAAACUAGGGUUAUAGU
RNAcentral lists this ribosomal RNA (420 nucleotides) under Amphora coffeiformis. Its description in RNAcentral is "bacterial SSU rRNA". It matches the Rfam family "Bacterial small subunit ribosomal RNA", at positions 219 to 653 of the family's 1533-position model. Lineage: Eukaryota; Bacillariophyta; Bacillariophyceae; Surirellales; Surirellaceae. The record is from RNAcentral.